Pelobates cultripes (western spadefoot toad) is the source of this 270-nucleotide non-coding RNA. NCBI's taxonomy places the organism in Eukaryota, Metazoa, Chordata, Amphibia, Anura, Pelobatidae. The record is from the annotation of a GenBank genome assembly.
AUAACAUGACUACACAUGCACACACCUGAUAUGGUGACAUCCUGUAAGCAAUAAAUGGUGCUACAGCCCGUAUCCUUGCAUAAAUGGAAGUUGAAAGAGGAGGAGAAUUAAAACACAGUUUAACACAAGGAGGCGCAAACUGGCAUUUUUCCAUUUUACUAUAACUGCCGAGCAGAGCAUGUGACUAGCAGUCUUUGCGGUCUCCGAGUAGAGAUGUAUAUAAAGAUAGUGCAUGCUAAUUAGGCUGCUUAAUAAAUACAUGUUUAUUGC